Gorilla gorilla gorilla (western lowland gorilla) is the source of this 1401-nucleotide long non-coding RNA. RefSeq lists it as uncharacterized. The record is from RefSeq and is a predicted model, not a curated record. The transcript is spliced from 7 exons. NCBI's taxonomy places the organism in Eukaryota, Metazoa, Chordata, Mammalia, Primates, Hominidae.
ACGCCAUCUCCACUUCCGACACUGGCCCAACCAUAAUAAAUGCCAAUGGAUACAUCAACUGGAAGAUUAGCUACUACUUGUUCAGGAAAAUUAGCUGCGGAGAUGCCCAGCGGCCUGGAGCCACGGCCGAAGCCCCGCGCCACUCGGGCCCGGCAGAAGCAGGGCAGAUGCCUCAUGUUAUAGUCCAGUCCGCUCAGGACACGGGCUGCGGCCGGGUCCGCGCGUUCUACGGGGCCGCCAUCGACGGGGUGCCCGGACCCUGGAUCAGCACGGGGUGGGGUGGGGACAUGGCCGUGAGCUCUGCCUGCCGCGGGGGCGCACCAGGGGCCUGGCGACAAGACGACACGCCGCGGUGGGUCCCUGAGGCUACCAACCCAACAAAAGCUUCCCGGCGACUCAAGAGCUGUGUCUCCCCAGACUGCCUUUGGAUUUGAACUGCCACUCUCCCCUAGGUCUCCAGCCUGGUGGCCUCCCCCAUGAGAUUUUGAACUCGCCAAGCCUCAAUAAUCCUGAAAAGCCACUGAGGAUAUGAGAAGAAGGCAGCCAUCCCCAAGCAGGAAGAGACACUCCACAGGAACUGAACUUGCCACCACCCUGAUCUCGAACUUCUAGUUUCCGUAACUAUGAGGCUUCCAUCCCUAAGCCUGAGCCAUAACGGAAGGGAAGGCAGUAAAAUUCUUUAAACUCCUAUCAACAUAUCAGGAGCCAAGCACAGUGCCAGGUGCAGUGGCUUAUGCCUGUAAUCUCAGCAUUUGGAGAGGCUGAGGUGGGAGGAUCACUUGCUUUGAGGAGUUUGAGGAUGCAGUGAGCUGUGACUGAGCCACCACACUCCAGCCUGGGUGAUAGGUUAUAGCAGAAGGCAUACUUGUGUUCAGGACAACUCGGCAAAGCCUGUGGUGAAGAGCGACAGUGAGAGAGAGGAAUACAGAACAGCUGUGUUUAAGUUCCAUCACUGCAGCUGAUGUGUACCUGGGAGAACAGUGUCCUAAACGACAGGCUGGAAUGCAGUGGUGCAAUCACAGCUCACUAUAGCCUUGACUUCCUGGGCUCAAGCAAUCCUCUUGUCUCAGCCUCUUGAGUAGAUGGGACUACAGACAGAGGUAUUGAUUCUCCAAUGUUGCCUCUGCUCUGUGGAAAAGAACUUCAGGGACCCAAGAAUAUAGAACCUCACCCUUUCCUCUCACAAUCAAAGGAUAGAUACAUAAAGUCAGGAUCUCAUUCUUGCUGGAGCUACUUAUCUGCCUGGACCCACACCACCCCCUAGUUCCAGGCCUGGCUCUCCCACCGCUAGCUCUGAACCUGAGCACGUUCUAUAAACAACAUGAGCAUCUGUAUCUCCCUUCAGAAAACAAAUGGUGCAGUCAUACUCAUCCUGCUGUGUUAAUGACUAUGUUCAUAAAA